This 999-nucleotide ribosomal RNA is filed under the name human gut metagenome. Its description in RNAcentral is "bacterial SSU rRNA". It matches the Rfam family "Bacterial small subunit ribosomal RNA", at positions 8 to 1032 of the family's 1533-position model. The record is from RNAcentral.
AGAGUUCGAUCCUGGCUCAGGAUGAACGCUGGCGGCGCGCCUAACACAUGCAAGUCGAACGGCACCCCUCUCCGGAGGGAAGCGAGUGGCGAACGGCUGAGUAACACGUGGAGAACCUGCCCCCUCCCCCGGGAUAGCCGCCCGAAAGGACGGGUAAUACCGGAUACCCCGGGGUGCCGCAUGGCACCCCGGCUAAAGCCCCGACGGGAGGGGAUGGCUCCGCGGCCCAUCAGGUAGACGGCGGGGUGACGGCCCACCGUGCCGACAACGGGUAGCCGGGUUGAGAGACCGACCAGCCAGAUUGGGACUGAGACACGGCCCAGACUCCUACGGGAGGCAGCAGUGGGGAAUCUUGCGCAAUGGGGGGAACCCUGACGCAGCGACGCCGCGUGCGGGACGGAGGCCUUCGGGUCGUAAACCGCUUUCAGCAGGGAAGAGUCAAGACUGUACCUGCAGAAGAAGCCCCGGCUAACUACGUGCCAGCAGCCGCGGUAAUACGUAGGGGGCGAGCGUUAUCCGGAUUCAUUGGGCGUAAAGCGCGCGUAGGCGGCCCGGCAGGCCGGGGGUCGAAGCGGGGGGCUCAACCCCCCGAAGCCCCCGGAACCUCCGCGGCUUGGGUCCGGUAGGGGAGGGUGGAACACCCGGUGUAGCGGUGGAAUGCGCAGAUAUCGGGUGGAACACCGGUGGCGAAGGCGGCCCUCUGGGCCGAGACCGACGCUGAGGCGCGAAAGCUGGGGGAGCGAACAGGAUUAGAUACCCUGGUAGUCCCAGCCGUAAACGAUGGACGCUAGGUGUGGGGGGACGAUCCCCCCGUGCCGCAGCCAACGCAUUAAGCGUCCCGCCUGGGGAGUACGGCCGCAAGGCUAAAACUCAAAGGAAUUGACGGGGGCCCGCACAAGCAGCGGAGCAUGUGGCUUAAUUCGAAGCAACGCGAAGAACCUUACCAGGGCUUGACAUAUGGGUGAAGCGGGGGAGACCCCGUGGCCGAGAGGAGCCCAU